AAUCCAGAUGCAUGUCACAGCUGCCUAAGAACGACUGGAGUGUGUGGUUUCAGCAGGGAAGGAAUGACCGUAUAACGGCCUCCCACGGGGGGCCGGCUGGCAGAUUGCCCAAGAGACCUUGGCCAUGCCCUGGGCUGGCUCUCUGUGCAAUGGAUUAGGCAGUCGUCGGAGGCUUAAAGGAGCAAGGCCUCCAGACCUGACCCAGUUUCUGUCUUCGACUUUUGUCUUUACAGGAGAACCGUUGUCCAAAGGAGGUUCAACUUCCAGUUCUACAGCCCGGCACGUAUGUGGCCCUGUCCGAGCAGGAGAAAAACAACAUGACGUCAGUCAUGCGGAAGGAGGAACAGCACCCAACUCUCAGUGGCUGGAGAUGAAAUUGCUUCUUGUUCAUUCCCCCGGUGCCUUGGCGGCCAGGUGGUACACACUCCUCAUGCAGGACCCAGCUGCAUGGUGCCAGCAACCAUAACUGGGCCAUAAAGUGAAAUCCCCCCGUGUGGCGGAAAGGGGGCGCCAGAGAGAGUGGGCCUUCGAGGGAUCCACUUCCGAAGCCUCCCGUCAUCCAGGGUGGUGGCCAGUUGUGUGAAAGAGCUCUCUUGGCUGCGCCUCGAUUUUCACCGUCCACCCCUCAGCAGUGUUUGCAGUUUUGAGGAAUCCAUUUAACGUGUGUGUGUGUGUGUGUGUGUGUGUGUGUGUGUGCGCGCGCGCACGCAAUCGCUAGCUCCGGGUAUGGACAUUCUGGAGGGAACCGGCGAUUGGGAGUGAAAUAUGCGCCAAAGCACCACAGAGCCUGAUUGGCUGUAGAAGUCUCUGGCCGAGCUUGGUUGAGAACCAUUGACCUGCUUCUGCCAGGGAUGUAAUUUAAGAAUGACCCCUUAAGCCUAUGAAACGGGGUUUCAACCAUGACUUACUACAAUUAUUACAGAGUCAAACAGCGAGACCACAU
Peromyscus maniculatus bairdii (prairie deer mouse) is the source of this 943-nucleotide long non-coding RNA. RefSeq lists it as uncharacterized. NCBI's taxonomy places the organism in Eukaryota, Metazoa, Chordata, Mammalia, Rodentia, Cricetidae. The record is from RefSeq and is a predicted model, not a curated record.